UACGUAGGUGGCAAGCGUUAUCCGGAUUUAUUGGGCGUAAAGGGAACGCAGGCGGUCUUUUAAGUCUGAUGUGAAAGCCUUCGGCUUAACCGGAGUAGUGCAUUGGAAACUGGGAGACUUGAGUGCAGAAGAGGAGAGUGGAACUCCAUGUGUAGCGGUGAAAUGCAUAGAUAUUACACAGAACACCGAUUGCGAAGGCAGCUUGCUAGGCCGGAUCUGACACUGAUGCACGAAAGCGUGGGGAUCGAACAGG
RNAcentral lists this ribosomal RNA (253 nucleotides) under uncultured Lactobacillus sp. RNAcentral describes it as "partial 16S ribosomal RNA". It matches the Rfam family "Bacterial small subunit ribosomal RNA", at positions 524 to 776 of the family's 1533-position model. The record is from RNAcentral. Lineage: Bacteria; Bacillati; Bacillota; Bacilli; Lactobacillales; Lactobacillaceae.